RNAcentral lists this small nucleolar RNA (130 nucleotides) under Sparus aurata (gilthead seabream). RNAcentral describes it as "Small nucleolar RNA SNORA57 (ENSSAUG00010025098.1)". It matches the Rfam family "Small nucleolar RNA SNORA57". Rfam says of the family: U99 belongs to the H/ACA class of snoRNAs which are thought to guide the sites of modification of uridines to pseudouridines, the target for this family is unknown. Lineage: Eukaryota; Metazoa; Chordata; Actinopteri; Spariformes; Sparidae. The record is from Rfam by way of RNAcentral.
CUCCUUUCUUGGCAUGCUCAUUGUUUUCCUGUACACGUGUGUGUAUGUGAUGGAGAAUAUUAAAGUCCAGUGUCUUUGGUGACAGAAAAUCCACCAUCUUCUGGUUCUAUCCUCAAUCACAGGCACAUAC